Molecule: microRNA, 22 nt
Filed under: Salmo salar (Atlantic salmon)
Lineage: Eukaryota; Metazoa; Chordata; Actinopteri; Salmoniformes; Salmonidae
Also listed under: 2 other names
Description: ssa-miR-24a-3-5p
Gene: ssa-miR-24a-3-5p
Source: miRBase by way of RNAcentral
UGCCUACUGAGCUGAUAACAGU